This 153-nucleotide RNase P RNA is filed under the name Gammaproteobacteria bacterium. Its description in RNAcentral is "partial RNase P RNA component class A". It matches the Rfam family "Bacterial RNase P class A", at positions 216 to 367 of the family's 367-position model. From Rfam's summary of the family: Ribonuclease P (RNase P) is a ubiquitous endoribonuclease, found in archaea, bacteria and eukarya as well as chloroplasts and mitochondria. Its best characterised activity is the generation of mature 5'-ends of tRNAs by cleaving the 5'-leader elements of precursor-tRNAs. Cellular RNase Ps are ribonucleoproteins. The record is from RNAcentral. Lineage: Bacteria; Pseudomonadati; Pseudomonadota; Gammaproteobacteria.
CCCGGAGCAAGACCAAAUAGGGGAGCUUCCGUGGCGACACGGUGAGGCGUGGCCCGCGCCGCUCCCGGGUAGGUCGCUCGAGGUGCCCGGUGACGGGCAUCCCAGAUGAAUGACUGUCCACGACAGAACCCGGCUUAUCGGCCGUCUCCCGCA